RNAcentral lists this ribosomal RNA (453 nucleotides) under uncultured bacterium. RNAcentral describes it as "partial 16S ribosomal RNA". It matches the Rfam family "Bacterial small subunit ribosomal RNA", at positions 28 to 507 of the family's 1533-position model. The record is from RNAcentral.
GAUGAACGCUGACAGAAUGCUUAACACAUGCAAGUCUACUUGAACUUCGGUUUGGGUGGCGGACGGGUGAGUAACGCGUACAGAACUUGCCUCACAGUUAGGGACAACAUUUGGAAACGAAUGCUAAUACCUGAUAUUAUGAUUUUAGGGCAUCCUAGGAUUAUGAAAGCUAUAUGUGCUGUGAGAGAGCUUUGCGUCCCAUUAGCUAGUUGGAGAGGUACGGCUCACCAAGGCGAUGAUGGGUAGCCGGCCUGAGAGGGUGAACGGCCACAAGGGGACUGAGACACGGCCCUUACUCCUACGGGAGGCAACAGUGGGGAAUAUUGGACAAUGGACCAAAAGUCUGAUCCAGCAAUUCUGUGUGCACGAUGACGUUUUUCGGAAUGUAAAGUGCUUUCAGUUGGGAAGAAAAAAAUGACGGUACCAACAGAAGAAGUGACGGCUAAAUACGUG